Molecule: ribosomal RNA, 505 nt
Filed under: uncultured bacterium
Lineage: Bacteria
Description: partial 16S ribosomal RNA
Rfam family: Bacterial small subunit ribosomal RNA
Source: RNAcentral
GACGAACGCUGGCGGCGUGCCUAAUACAUGCAAGUAGAACGCACAGUUUAUACCGUAGCUUGCUACACCAUAGACUGUGAGUUGCGAACGGGUGAGUAACGCGUAGCUAACCUGCCUGGUAGCGGGGGAUAACUAUUGGAAACGAUAGCUAAUACCGCAUAAUAUUAAUUAUUGCAUGAUAAUUAAUUGAAAGGUGCAAUUGCACCACUACCAGAUGGACCUGCGUUGUAUUAGCUAGUAGGUGAGGUAACGGCUCACCUAGGCGACGAUACAUAGCCGACCUGCGAGGGUGAGCAGCCAGACUGAGAGUGAGACACGGCCCAGACUCCUUGGGGAGGCAGCCGUAGGGAAUCUUCGGCAAUGGACGAAAGUCUGACCGAGCAACGCGGCGUGAGUGAAGAAGGUCUUCGGAUCGUAAAGCUCUGUUGUAAGGGAAGAAAGGGCGUGAGAGUGUAAAGUUCACACUGUGACGGUAUCUGACCAGAAAGGGACGGCUAACUACGUG